UUAAGUUCAGCGGGUAGUCCCACCCGAUUUGAGGUCAAAUUGUCAGUUGUGGUAAACCACAGUCCAAAAGGACGGUUUGAAAGCAUAGAGCUUGUCAUGACAAUGCGGUCUUGCGACCAACUCUGGUGAAAUGUUUAUUACACCGGAUACACUGCAAAAGCAAGGUACACUAAAGCAUUUGAGACGAGCCGUAUUGACAC
This 200-nucleotide unclassified non-coding RNA is filed under the name uncultured fungus. RNAcentral's name for it is "sequence contains ITS2". Lineage: Eukaryota; Fungi. The record is from RNAcentral.